UGAAGCGGCAACAGCUCAAAUUUGAAAUCUGGCCCCUAGGGUCCGAGUUGUAAUUUGCAGAGGAUGCUUUUGGCGAGGCGCCUUCCGAGUUCCCUGGAACGGGACGCCAUAGAGGGUGAGAGCCCCGUCUGGUCGGAUGCCAAGCCUAUGUAAAGCUCCUUCGACGAGUCGAGUAGUUUGGGAAUGCUGCUCAAAAUGGGAGGUAUAUGUCUUCUAAAGCUAAAUAUUGGCCAGAGACCGAUAGCGCACAAGUAGAGUGAUCGAAAGAUGAAAAGCACUUUGAAAAGAGGGUUAAAAAGUACGUGAAAUUGUUGAAAGGGAAGCGCCUAUGACCAGACUUGGGCCCGGUGAAUCAUCCAGCGUUCUCGCUGGUGCACUUUGCCGGGCACAGGCCAGCAUCAGUUUGGCGCGGGGGAUAAAGGCUUUGGGAAUGUGGCUCCCUCGGGAGUGUUAUAGCCCAUUGCGUAAUACCCUGCGCCGGACUGAGGUACGCGCAUUGCAAGGAUGCUGGCGUAAUGGUCAUCAGCGACCCGUCUUGAAACACGGACCAAGGAGUCGUCUUCGUAUGCGAGUGUUCGGGUGUCAAACCCCUACGCGUAAUGAAAGUGAACGCAGGUGAGAGCUUCGGCGCAUCAUCGACCGAUCCUGAUGUUCUCGGAUGGAUUUGAGUAAGAGCAUACGGGGCCGGACCCGAAAGAAGGUGAACUAUGCCUGUAUAGGGUGAAGCCAGAGGAAACUCUGGUGGAGGCUCGCAGCGGUUCUGACGUGCGAAUCGAUCGUCAAAUAUGGGCAUGGGGGCGAAAGACUAAUCGAACCUUCUAGUAGCUGGUUUCCGCCGAAGUUUCCCUCAGGAUAGCAGUGUUGAACUCAGUUUUAUGAGGUAAAGCGAAUGAUUAGGGACUCGGGGGCGCUAUAUUGCCUUCAUCCAUUCUCAAACUUUAAAUAUGUAAGAAGCCCUUGUUACUUAAUUGAACGUGGGCAUUCGAAUGUAUCAACACUAGUGGGCCAUUUUUGGUAAGCAGAACUGGCGAUGCGGGAUGAACCGAACGCGAGGUUAAGGUGCCGGAGUGGACGCUCAUCAGACACCACAAAAGGUGUUAGUACAUCUUGACAGCAGGACGGUGGCCAUGGAAGUCGGAAUCCGCUAAGGACUGUGUAACAACUCACCUGCCGAAUGUACUAGCCCUGAAAAUGGAUGGCGCUCAAGCGUCCCACCCAUACCUCGCCCUCAGGGUAGAAACGAAGCCCUGAGGAGUAGGCGGACGUGGAGGUCAGUGACGAAGCC
RNAcentral lists this ribosomal RNA (1285 nucleotides) under Flavocillium sp. CBS 639.85. RNAcentral describes it as "LSU rRNA". It matches the Rfam family "Eukaryotic large subunit ribosomal RNA", at positions 94 to 1410 of the family's 3401-position model. RNAcentral also lists the same sequence under 1 other name. Lineage: Eukaryota; Fungi; Ascomycota; Sordariomycetes; Hypocreales; Cordycipitaceae. The record is from RNAcentral.